UGGAAGUAAAAAGUCGUAACAAGGUUUCCGUAGGUGAACCUGCGGAAGGAUCAUUGUCGAAUCCUGCACAGCAGUACCACUCGCGAACACGUUCACAAAACGAGGGCCGAUCCGGGUGCGGGGGAUUCCCCCUGCAUCCGAUUCGGAUCCUUCCGGUGCUCGGGCAACUUGUCCUUGUGCCUAACAAACCCCCGGCGCGAGAAGCGCCAAGGAAUACUCUAACAAGGGCUGGAUCCGUCCCCUCCCGUUCGCGGGGCCAGGGGGACCGGGGAAGGCUUCUUUCUAAACUGAAACGACUCUCGGCAACGGAUAUCUCGGCUCUCGCAUCGAUGAAGAACGUAGCGAAAUGCGAUACUUGGUGUGAAUUGCAGAAUCCCGUGAACCAUCGAGUCUUUGAACGCAAGUUGCGCCUGAAGCCAUUAGGCUAAGGGCACGUCUGCCUGGGCGUCACGCAUCGCGUCAGCCCUCCCCCAAUUCUGGUGUGGACGGGGUGGAAUGUGACCUCCUGUGCCUACCGGCGCAGCUGGUCGAAAUCUGAGUCCGGAGCUUAGGACGUCACGGCAAGUGGUGGUUGGAUGACAACUCUCGUGCUGUCGUGUGCCCAAACUCUCGUGACUGGAAAGACCCUGAGGCGCUCGUCAUCCUCCCCUCUGGGGUUGGGUGCUUGUGCUACGACCGCGACCCCAGGUCAGGCGGGAUUACCCGCUGAAUUUAAGCAUAUCAU
RNAcentral lists this ribosomal RNA (724 nucleotides) under Trachelanthus cerinthoides. RNAcentral describes it as "eukaryotic LSU rRNA". The stretch from base 295 to 450 matches the Rfam family "5.8S ribosomal RNA". The record is from RNAcentral. Lineage: Eukaryota; Viridiplantae; Streptophyta; Magnoliopsida; Boraginales; Boraginaceae.